RNAcentral lists this transfer RNA (73 nucleotides) under Stegodyphus mimosarum. It matches the Rfam family "tRNA". Rfam says of the family: Transfer RNA (tRNA) molecules are approximately 80 nucleotides in length. Their secondary structure includes four short double-helical elements and three loops (D, anti-codon, and T loops). The record is from Rfam by way of RNAcentral. Lineage: Eukaryota; Metazoa; Arthropoda; Arachnida; Araneae; Eresidae.
GCCUUUGUGGUGUAGUGGUCAGCACGCUCUAUUAAUUUUCAAGAGGUCCAUGGUUCAAGUCCUGGCGAAGGCA